RNAcentral lists this transfer RNA (63 nucleotides) under Teleogryllus commodus. Its description in RNAcentral is "tRNA-Arg". The record is from RNAcentral. Lineage: Eukaryota; Metazoa; Arthropoda; Insecta; Orthoptera; Gryllidae.
AAUUAAGAAGCAAUUUAUGCAUUCAGUUUCGACCUGAAAGAAAGAUUAUUUAAUCCUUAAUUA